GAAAAGAUUAAGAUUCAGAAUCCUCAAUCCAGCUAUUUAGAUAAGUCCACUCUGAUAGAGCACUUCAAGUGUGAUAUAUGUUUAGUUGGUGACAAGAAUUACUACAGUGUGUAAAACUUUCAUGAAAUGAUAUACACCAAUAUUGAAAGAAAAAAGCAUAUUAAUUUUGCAGAGAAACAGCAAAGGACUAUGAAUCUUAGAUAUGGAUUUCUAACCAAGCCAAUGAACUCUUUCAUACAACUAGAAUUGUUCCAAACCUUUACAAAUGCAUUUGAACCUUUGUCAUCCAAACCUUUUCCUCCCCUUCAUUUUAUAUCAAAGCACCAAAAAGAAAUACUAAAUUAAUAUGUUAUUCUAUGCAAUGGCAUUAAAAAUUCAGUAAAGUUUGGCAUCAAAAAUUUAGCAAAGUUUAGAGAUCAUAAGAAAAUAGGCAUGAUGGAGAAUUUACCACGCGCCCUAAAGAACACAUC
This 470-nucleotide unclassified non-coding RNA is filed under the name Hevea brasiliensis (rubber tree). The record is from RNAcentral. Lineage: Eukaryota; Viridiplantae; Streptophyta; Magnoliopsida; Malpighiales; Euphorbiaceae.